UACUCUUACACCCCGGCAUGGUGUUUCAUUUCCUUCUUGCACAAAAAGCACCUUUUCGCACAAUGCUAACAAACAUUUCGCUUUUCAGCUUUUUUUAAGAGCAAAAUUAUACGGGAAUAAGCUAUCUUUCUUUGAAAUCCAAAGAGCGAGUAAAUUACACGUAGAGGAGCAAUAAAUUUUAUUGAGAACCAGCAGUUUGAGUGGCGCCUCCCACGCGGAGGUCAUAAUUCGGACGGGCACCUAUAAGGCCGGAAGGAAGUCUACUACGAGCGCAAAGCUUUGCGUAAUGCAUGUAUGAAAGUGCGUCGCAAAUGACGUCAAAAUGACUUGACAGCUGUCUUCGAAGUUGAUAUUGAAGGACAGGAACGAGAAUCAAAACCAGUGCAGACUACCCAGACUCCCAAUGAGACGAAGAAAGGGCGCGGCGUCGUUCAAGGUGGUAAAACUGAGUUUGGCACAUUCAUGAAUAGUUUAAGAGGAUUCCUGCACAAGUUUUCCCUUAGCGCUGACAACCACGGUCGAGUUUUUGUUUAUGACUGCUCUUUCAAUAGAAACCACACCACCAAUUUCUUCAAGUUUGUAAACACGCUCCUCCAUGAGCUGCACACACCAUGCUCCAUACAUGGUUUCCCCGGCGCGGGGUAGCAUGCCCGACUGAAAUCUGGACAAACCUCCCUGCCUCUAUAUUCCUUGCUCCUCCUGCUUUUUAUAUAUUAGCUGUUGAGGCACAGGACA
Rhipicephalus sanguineus (brown dog tick) is the source of this 735-nucleotide long non-coding RNA. RefSeq lists it as uncharacterized. Lineage: Eukaryota; Metazoa; Arthropoda; Arachnida; Ixodida; Ixodidae. The record is from RefSeq and is a predicted model, not a curated record. The transcript has 4 exons.